CCUACGGGAGGCAGCAGUGGGGGAUAUUGCACAAUGGGGGAAACCCUGAUGCAGCGACGCCGCGUGGGUGAAGUAGUCCUUCGUGAUGUAAAGCUCUAUCAGCAGGGAAGAAAAUGACGGUACCUGAAUAAGAAGCCCCGGCUAACUACGUGCCAGCAGCCGCGGUAAUACGUAGGGGGCAAGCGUUAUCCGGAUGUACUGGGUGUAAAGGGAGCGUAGACGGCGGUGCAAGUCUGGAGUGAAAGGCGGGGGCUCAACCCCCGGACUGCUCCUGGAACUGUACGGCUGGAGUGCAGGAGAGGGGAGUGGAAUUCCUGGUGUAGCGGUGAAAUGCGUAGAGAUCAGGAGGAACACCAGUGGCGAAGGCGGCUUACUGGACUGUAACUGACGUUGAGGCUCGAAAGCGUGGGGAGCAAACAGGAUUAGAUACCCCAGUAGUC
RNAcentral lists this ribosomal RNA (440 nucleotides) under uncultured bacterium. RNAcentral's name for it is "partial 16S ribosomal RNA". It matches the Rfam family "Bacterial small subunit ribosomal RNA", at positions 338 to 795 of the family's 1533-position model. The record is from RNAcentral.